This 468-nucleotide ribosomal RNA is filed under the name uncultured bacterium. Its description in RNAcentral is "partial 16S ribosomal RNA". It matches the Rfam family "Bacterial small subunit ribosomal RNA", at positions 28 to 507 of the family's 1533-position model. The record is from RNAcentral.
GACGAACGCUGGCGGCGUGCUUAACACAUGCAAGUCGAACGGAAAGGCCCUGCUUUUGUGGGGUGCUCGAGUGGCGAACGGGUGAGUAACACGUGAGUAACCUGCCCUUGACUUUGGGAUAACUUCAGGAAACUGGGGCUAAUACCGGAUAGGAGCUCCUGCUGCAUGGUGGGGGUUGGAAAGUUUCGGCGGUUGGGGAUGGACUCGCGGCUUAUCAGCUUGGUGGUGGGGUAGUGGCUUACCAAGGCUUUGGCGGGUAGCCGGGCUGAGAGGGUGACCGGCCCAGUUUGGACUGAGAUACGGCCCAGACUCCUACGGGAGGCAGCAGUGGGGAAUAUUGCACAAUGGGCGGAAGCCUGAUGCAGCAACGCCGCGUGCGGGAUGACGGCCUUCGGGUUGUAAACCGCUUUCGCCUGUGACGAAGCGUGAGUGACGGUAAUGGGUAAAGAAGCACCGGCUAACUACGUG